AUGCUCGCUUCAGCAGCACAUAUACUGAAAUUGGAAUGCUACAGAGAAGAUUGGCAUGACUUCUGUGCAAGGAUGAUCUGCAAAUUUGUGAAGCAUUUCAUAUUUUU
Small nuclear RNA from Jaculus jaculus (lesser Egyptian jerboa), 107 nucleotides. The record is from Ensembl. NCBI's taxonomy places the organism in Eukaryota, Metazoa, Chordata, Mammalia, Rodentia, Dipodidae.